RNAcentral lists this long non-coding RNA (217 nucleotides) under Elaeis guineensis (African oil palm). RNAcentral's name for it is "long non-coding RNA (EGUI_LNC027187)". The record is from RNAcentral. Lineage: Eukaryota; Viridiplantae; Streptophyta; Magnoliopsida; Arecales; Arecaceae.
UUAUAGAUAAAUGCCUAGCCCUAGGUCCACAAUCUUCUGUGCAAUACACACAACCUUCCAAUUAUCAGAAGAUUUAUUCUAUCUUUGCUAGCCUAGCCCAUCAUGUGAGUGAAUGUCCUACGGCUGUACAGUUUUCACCUUUCAUCCAAGAACAAGUUCAAGCUGCUUCAGGUUACUCCAAUCCUAUCAAUGACCAAUUCUUAAAUGCAUAUAACCA